Molecule: ribosomal RNA, 1032 nt
Filed under: uncultured bacterium
Lineage: Bacteria
Description: bacterial SSU rRNA
Rfam family: Bacterial small subunit ribosomal RNA
Source: RNAcentral
CUCCUACGGGAGGCAGCAGUGGGGAAUAUUGCACAAUGGGGGGAACCCUGAUGCAGCGAUGCCGCGUGGAGGAAGAAGGUUUUCGGAUUGUAAACUCCUUUUAACAGGGACGAUAAUGACGGUACCUGAAGAAAAAGCUCCGGCUAACUACGUGCCAGCAGCCGCGGUAAUACGUAGGGAGCGAGCGUUGUCCGGAAUUACUGGGUGUAAAGGGAGCGUAGGCGGGACGGUAAGUCAGGUGUGAAAUAUACGUGCUCAACAUGUAGACUGCACUUGAAACUGCUGUUCUUGAGUGAAGUAGAGGUAAGCGGAAUUCCUAGUGUAGCGGUGAAAUGCGUAGAUAUUAGGAGGAACAUCGGUGGCGAAGGCGGCUUACUGGGCUUUUACUGACGCUGAGGCUCGAAAGCGUGGGGAGCAAACAGGAUUAGAUACCCUGGUAGUCCACGCUGUAAACGAUGAUUACUAGGUGUGGGGGGACUGACCCCUUCCGUGCCGCAGUUAACACAAUAAGUAAUCCACCUGGGGAGUACGACCGCAAGGUUGAAACUCAAAGGAAUUGACGGGGGCCCGCACAAGCAGUGGAGUAUGUGGUUUAAUUCGACGCAACGCGAAGAACCUUACCAAGUCUUGACAUCCCUUGACGAUGCUGGAAACAGUAUUUCUCUUCGGAGCAAGGAGACAGGUGGUGCAUGGUUGUCGUCAGCUCGUGUCGUGAGAUGUUGGGUUGAGUCCUGCAACGAGCGCAACCCUUAUGGUCAGUUACUACGCAAGAGGACUCUGGCCAGACUGCCGUUGACAAAACGGAGGAAGGUGGGGAUGACGUCAAAUCAUCAUGCCCUUUAUGACUUGGGCUACACACGUACUACAAUGGCGUUAAACAAAGAGAAGCAAGACCGCGAGGUGGAGCAAAACUCAGAAACAACGUCCCAGUUCGGACUGCAGGCUGCAACUCGCCUGCACGAAGUCGGAAUUGCUAGUAAUCGUGGAUCAGCAUGCCACGGUGAAUACGUUCCCGGGCCUUGUACACACCGC